Molecule: ribosomal RNA, 253 nt
Filed under: uncultured bacterium
Lineage: Bacteria
Description: partial 16S ribosomal RNA
Rfam family: Bacterial small subunit ribosomal RNA
Source: RNAcentral
UACGGAAGGUGCGAGCGUUGUUCGGAUUGACUGGGCGUAAAGGGCUUGUAGGCGGAUCUGCAAGUCGGUUGUGAAAUCCCUGGGCUUAACCUAGGAACUGCAAUCGAAACUGCAAAUCUUGAAUACCUGAGGGGCUAGUAGAAUUCCUGGUGUAGGAGUGAAAUCCGUAGAUAUCAGGAGGAAUACCAGAGGCGAAGGCGACUAGCUGGCAGAGUAUUGACGCUGAGGAGCGAAAGCGUGGGUAGCAAACAGG